UCCCCGAUAGCUCAAUGGUAGAGCGGGCGGCUGUUAACCGCUAGGUUCGUGGUUCGAAUCCACGUCGGGGAGCCA
This 75-nucleotide transfer RNA is filed under the name Dehalococcoidia bacterium. Its description in RNAcentral is "tRNA-Asn". It matches the Rfam family "tRNA". From Rfam's summary of the family: Transfer RNA (tRNA) molecules are approximately 80 nucleotides in length. Their secondary structure includes four short double-helical elements and three loops (D, anti-codon, and T loops). Lineage: Bacteria; Bacillati; Chloroflexota; Dehalococcoidia. RNAcentral also lists the same sequence under 1 other name. The record is from RNAcentral.